RNAcentral lists this ribosomal RNA (556 nucleotides) under uncultured bacterium. RNAcentral describes it as "bacterial SSU rRNA". It matches the Rfam family "Bacterial small subunit ribosomal RNA", at positions 453 to 1012 of the family's 1533-position model. The record is from RNAcentral.
CUGCUCACAGUGNGACGGUAUCUAACCAGAAAGUCACGGCUAACUACGUGCCAGCAGCCGCGGUAAUACGUAGGUGGCAAACGUUGUCCGGAUUUAUUGGGCGUAAAGGGAGCGCAGGCUGUUUAUUAAGUCUGAUGUGAAAGCCUUCGGCUUAACCGGAGAAGUGCAUCGGAAACUGAUAAACUUGAGUGCAGAAAAGGAUAGUGGAACUUCAUGUGUAGCGGUGAAAUGCGUAGAUAUAUGAAGGAACACCAGUGGCGAAGGCGGCUAUCUGGUCUGUAACUGACGCUGAGGCUCGAAAGCAUGGGUAGCAAACAGGAUUAGAUACCCUGGUAGUCCAUGCCGUAAACGAUGAAUGCUAAGUGUUGGGAGGUUUCCGCCUCUCAGUGCCGCAGCUAACGCAUUAAGCAUUCCGCCUGGGGAGUACGACCGCAAGGUUGAAACUCAAAGGAAUUGACGGGGACCCGCACAAGCGGUGGAGCAUGUGGUUUAAUUCGAUGCUACGCGAAGAACCUUACCAGGACUUGACAUCUUCUGCCAAUCUAAGAGAUUAGAC